GUGGGGAAUCUUGCGCAAUGGGCGAAAGCCUGACGCAGCCAUGUCGCGUGAAUGAUGACGGUCUUAGGAUUGUAAAAUUCUUUCACCGGGGACGAUAAUGACGGUACCCGGAGAAGAAGCUCCGGCUAACUUCGUGCCAGCAGCCGCGGUAAUACGAAGGGGGCUAGCGUUGCUCGGAAUUACUGGGCGUAAAGGGCGCGUAGGCGGACAGCUUAGUCAGAGGUGAAAGCCCAGGGCUCAACCUUGGAAUUGCCUUUGAUACUGGCUGUCUUGAGUUUGGGAGAGGUGAGUGGAACUCCGAGUGUAGAGGUGAAAUUCGUAGAUAUUCGGAAGAACACCAGUGGCGAAGGCGACUCACUGGCCCAAUACUGACGCUGAGGCGCGAAAGCGUGGGGAGCAAACAGGAUUAGAUACCCUUGUAGUCC
Molecule: ribosomal RNA, 425 nt
Filed under: uncultured bacterium
Lineage: Bacteria
Description: partial 16S ribosomal RNA
Rfam family: Bacterial small subunit ribosomal RNA
Source: RNAcentral